Molecule: ribosomal RNA, 253 nt
Filed under: uncultured bacterium
Lineage: Bacteria
Description: partial 16S ribosomal RNA
Rfam family: Bacterial small subunit ribosomal RNA
Source: RNAcentral
UACAGAGGGUGCGAGCGUUGUUCGGAAUUAUUGGGCGUAAAGAGCGUGUAGGCGGCUUUACAGGUCCGUUGUGAAAACUCGAGGCUCAACCUCGAGACGCCGGUGGAAACCGUAAAGCUAGAGUCCGGAAGAGGAGAGUGGAAUUCCUGGUGUAGCGGUGAAAUGCGCAGAUAUCAGGAGGAACACCCGUGGCGAAAGCGGCUCCCUGGGACGGUACUGACGCUGAGACGCGAAAGCGUGGGGAGCAAACAGG